Limulus polyphemus (Atlantic horseshoe crab) is the source of this 129-nucleotide long non-coding RNA. RefSeq lists it as uncharacterized. The record is from RefSeq and is a predicted model, not a curated record. NCBI's taxonomy places the organism in Eukaryota, Metazoa, Arthropoda, Merostomata, Xiphosura, Limulidae. The transcript is spliced from 3 exons.
ACUAACGUGACGGUAACAGUCAGAUUACUGGUUGUAACUUCAUUAAGGGAUUCACUGUUUUCCCUCUCAAAACCGAGUAGAGUUUCUUCUUCAACAGUGGCUUUUUCAGAUGACACGUCUUCAGCAGCG